This 73-nucleotide transfer RNA is filed under the name Canis lupus familiaris (dog). It matches the Rfam family "tRNA". From Rfam's summary of the family: Transfer RNA (tRNA) molecules are approximately 80 nucleotides in length. Their secondary structure includes four short double-helical elements and three loops (D, anti-codon, and T loops). Further hydrogen bonds mediate the characteristic L-shaped molecular structure. tRNAs have two regions of fundamental functional importance: the anti-codon, which is responsible for specific mRNA codon recognition, and the 3' end, to which the tRNAs corresponding amino acid is attached (by aminoacyl-tRNA synthetases). tRNAs cope with the degeneracy of the genetic code in two manners: having more than one tRNA (with a specific anti-codon) for a particular amino acid; and 'wobble' base-pairing, i.e. permitting non-standard base-pairing at the 3rd anti-codon position. Lineage: Eukaryota; Metazoa; Chordata; Mammalia; Carnivora; Canidae. The record is from Rfam by way of RNAcentral. RNAcentral also lists the same sequence under 1 other name.
GCCUGGCUGGCUCCAUUGGUGGAGCAUGUGACUUUUGGUCUCAGAGUUGUGAGUUCAAGCCCCACGUUAGGUG